Molecule: microRNA precursor, 95 nt
Filed under: Caenorhabditis remanei
Lineage: Eukaryota; Metazoa; Nematoda; Chromadorea; Rhabditida; Rhabditidae
Description: microRNA crm-mir-35c precursor (crm-mir-35c-3)
Gene: crm-mir-35c-3
Rfam family: mir-36 microRNA precursor family
Source: miRBase by way of RNAcentral
UCGGUCGGAUCGGACCUCCACUGGUUUUAGCUUCGGUGAUAUUUCUAGAAUGAUUAUCACCGGGUGAAAAUCAGGGCAGGUCCGAUCCCAUCGAU